RNAcentral lists this small nuclear RNA (86 nucleotides) under Glossina palpalis gambiensis. The record is from RNAcentral. Lineage: Eukaryota; Metazoa; Arthropoda; Insecta; Diptera; Glossinidae.
UAAAAAACUUUUUAAUAUUAUUUAUUGUAUUAGCAAGGCCCCCGCGCAAGGAUAACACGCAAAAUCGUGAAGCGUUCCACAUUUUU